UACGUAGGGGGCAAGCGUUAUCCGGAAUUACUGGGUGUAAAGGGUGAGUAGGCGGCAUGGUAAGCCAAAUGUGAAAGCCUUGGGCUUAACCCGAGGAUUGCAUUUGGAACUAUCAAGCUAGAGUACAGGAGAGGAAAGCGGAAUUCCUAGUGUAGCGGUGAAAUGCGUAGAUAUUAGGAAGAACACCAGUGGCGAAGGCGGCUUUCUGGACUGAAACUGACGCUGAGGCACGAAAGCGUGGGGAGCGAACAGG
RNAcentral lists this ribosomal RNA (253 nucleotides) under uncultured bacterium. RNAcentral describes it as "partial 16S ribosomal RNA". It matches the Rfam family "Bacterial small subunit ribosomal RNA", at positions 524 to 776 of the family's 1533-position model. The record is from RNAcentral.